UUACAUGUGAUGAAGCAAAUCAGUAUGGAUAAACUCAUGAUAGUGUAAAUGUUUUCUGAUGUA
This 63-nucleotide small nucleolar RNA is filed under the name Neotoma lepida (desert woodrat). RNAcentral describes it as "Small nucleolar RNA Z39". It matches the Rfam family "Small nucleolar RNA Z39". Rfam says of the family: Z39 is a member of the C/D class of snoRNA which contain the C (UGAUGA) and D (CUGA) box motifs. Most of the members of the box C/D family function in directing site-specific 2'-O-methylation of substrate RNAs. The record is from Rfam by way of RNAcentral. Lineage: Eukaryota; Metazoa; Chordata; Mammalia; Rodentia; Cricetidae.